This 158-nucleotide non-coding RNA is filed under the name Candidatus Omnitrophica bacterium 4484_70.1. RNAcentral's name for it is "6S RNA". It matches the Rfam family "6S / SsrS RNA". Rfam says of the family: E. coli 6S RNA was the first non coding RNA to be sequenced, but its function was unknown until recently. It consists of 184 nucleotides that fold into an extended hairpin structure with a large single-stranded internal bulge. The record is from RNAcentral. Lineage: Bacteria; Pseudomonadati; Candidatus Omnitrophota.
AAUGCCCUGCUUGUUACGUGGAGGAAGAAGCGCCACAGCCAACACCAAUAAGAAGGGAGCUUAAUCUCCCUACUGUUGUGACAGUAGGGAUGCGGCGCCCACCUGUAUGAGAAGAGGACUGUGCGAGGCUUAUCCUUCACGGACAAAGCAGGGCUUUU